GUGCUUACUUUGGCAGCACAUAUACUAAAAUUAGAAGGAUACAGAGAAGAUUUGCAUGGCCCCUGCACAAGGAUGACACGCAUAUUCAUGAAGCGUUCCAUAUUUUU
RNAcentral lists this small nuclear RNA (107 nucleotides) under Carlito syrichta (Philippine tarsier). The record is from RNAcentral. Lineage: Eukaryota; Metazoa; Chordata; Mammalia; Primates; Tarsiidae.